Phyllostomus hastatus (greater spear-nosed bat) is the source of this 108-nucleotide small nuclear RNA. NCBI's taxonomy places the organism in Eukaryota, Metazoa, Chordata, Mammalia, Chiroptera, Phyllostomidae. The record is from RefSeq and is a predicted model, not a curated record.
GUGCUCGCUUUGGCAGCACAUAUACUCAAAUUGGAACGAUACAGAGAAGAUUAGCCAUGGCCCCUGCACAAGGAUGACAUGCAAAUUCGUGAAGCAUUCCAUAGAAUU